Molecule: ribosomal RNA, 506 nt
Filed under: uncultured Glomeromycotina
Lineage: Eukaryota; Fungi; Glomeromycota
Description: partial small subunit ribosomal RNA
Rfam family: Eukaryotic small subunit ribosomal RNA
Source: RNAcentral
CCAAUAGCGUAUAUUAAAGUUGUUGCAGUUAAAAAGCUCGUAGUUGAAUUUCGGGAUUGGCGCAUCGGUCGUGCCUUACGGGGUAUGAACUGGUGCAGUCAAUUUCUCACCUUCUGGAGAACCGCGAUGUCCUUAAUUGGGUGCCGCGGGGAACCAGGACCUUUACUUUGAAAAAAUUAGAGUGUUUAAAGCAGGCAUUUUUGCUUGAAUACAUUAGCAUGGAAUAAUAAAAUAGGACGGCAUGGUUCUAUUUUGUUGGUUUCUAGGACCACCGUAAUGAUUAAUAGGGAUAGUUGGGGGCAUUAGUAUUCAAUUGUCAGAGGUGAAAUUCUUGGAUUUAUUGAAGACUAACUACUGCGAAAGCAUUUGCCAAGGAUGUUUUCAUUAAUCAAGAACGAAAGUUAGGGGAUCGAAGACGAUCAGAUACCGUCGUAGUCUUAACCAUAAACUAUGCCGACUAGGAAUCAGACGAUGUUAAUUUUUUAAUGACUCGUUUGGCACCUUAC